UGUGAGUGAUGACAAACCUUUCCUCGACUUCAUUUGUGGGGGUAAAAACUGAUUUAAUGAGCCUGACAC
Small nucleolar RNA from Lampris incognitus (smalleye Pacific opah), 69 nucleotides. The record is from RefSeq and is a predicted model, not a curated record. NCBI's taxonomy places the organism in Eukaryota, Metazoa, Chordata, Actinopteri, Lampriformes, Lampridae.